CAACUUUUAACGGUGGAUCUCUUGGCUCGUGCAUCGAUGAAGAACGCAGCGAAAUGCGAUACGUAACGUGAACCGCAGACCUUCGUGAAUCAUCGAAUCUUUGAACGCAAAUGGCGGU
Molecule: ribosomal RNA, 118 nt
Filed under: Psorospermium haeckeli
Lineage: Eukaryota; Ichthyosporea; Ichthyophonida
Description: 5.8S ribosomal RNA
Rfam family: 5.8S ribosomal RNA
About the family: 5.8S ribosomal RNA (5.8S rRNA) is a component of the large subunit of the eukaryotic ribosome. It is transcribed by RNA polymerase I as part of the 45S precursor that also contains 18S and 28S rRNA. Functionally, it is thought that 5.8S rRNA may be involved in ribosome translocation.
Source: RNAcentral